RNAcentral lists this long non-coding RNA (362 nucleotides) under Nicotiana benthamiana. RNAcentral describes it as "long non-coding RNA (NBEN_LNC033226)". The record is from RNAcentral. Lineage: Eukaryota; Viridiplantae; Streptophyta; Magnoliopsida; Solanales; Solanaceae.
UUUUCAAGGCCUUUCUUUCUUGGAAUUAUCGUCCAUCUGUGUCAACUUGACCUUGUUUCUUGUGUUUCUCUUUAUUGUAUCUGCUAAGCAGAUAUAUCUAUGUGUCGGUCGGGUUCGAUUUCGGAAGGAUGAUUCUGAUGGUAAUUCAGUUCCUAGUAGACAUAGAAGUGGCGAUGUGGAAAUAAUACAGAGUAUUGAGUUAGGUAGAGAUUUCGGAAGGAUGAUUCUGAUGCUAAUUCAGUUCCUGGUAGACAUAGAAGUGGUGAUGUGGAAAUAAUACAGAAUAUUGAGUUAGGUAGAGCCUAUAAAGCUUCAGUAUUGUGUUGCUUUUAUGUCUUGUUUGUGCAUGUUGUGGUUUUAGG